This 733-nucleotide ribosomal RNA is filed under the name Pantoea agglomerans. RNAcentral describes it as "bacterial SSU rRNA". It matches the Rfam family "Bacterial small subunit ribosomal RNA", at positions 771 to 1503 of the family's 1533-position model. Lineage: Bacteria; Pseudomonadati; Pseudomonadota; Gammaproteobacteria; Enterobacterales; Erwiniaceae. The record is from RNAcentral.
AACAGGAUUAGAUACCCUGGUAGUCCACGCCGUAAACGAUGUCGACUUGGAGGUUGUUCCCUUGAGGAGUGGCUUCCGGAGCUAACGCGUUAAGUCGACCGCCUGGGGAGUACGGCCGCAAGGUUAAAACUCAAAUGAAUUGACGGGGGCCCGCACAAGCGGUGGAGCAUGUGGUUUAAUUCGAUGCAACGCGAAGAACCUUACCUACUCUUGACAUCCAGCGAACUUAGCAGAGAUGCUUUGGUGCCUUCGGGAACGCUGAGACAGGUGCUGCAUGGCUGUCGUCAGCUCGUGUUGUGAAAUGUUGGGUUAAGUCCCGCAACGAGCGCAACCCUUAUCCUUUGUUGCCAGCGAUUCGGUCGGGAACUCAAAGGAGACUGCCGGUGAUAAACCGAAGGAAGGUGGGGAUGACGUCAAGUCAUCAUGGCCCUUACGAGUAGGGCUACACACGUGCUACAAUGGCGCAUACAAAGAGAAGCGACCUCGCGAGAGCAAGCGGACCUCACAAAGUGCGUCGUAGUCCGGAUCGGAGUCUGCAACUCGACUCCGUGAAGUCGGAAUCGCUAGUAAUCGUGGAUCAGAAUGCCACGGUGAAUACGUUCCCGGGCCUUGUACACACCGCCCGUCACACCAUGGGAGUGGGUUGCAAAAGAAGUAGGUAGCUUAACCUUCGGGAGGGCGCUUACCACUUUGUGAUUCAUGACUGGGGUGAAGUCGUAACAAGGUAAGCCGU